This 492-nucleotide ribosomal RNA is filed under the name uncultured bacterium. RNAcentral describes it as "partial 16S ribosomal RNA". It matches the Rfam family "Bacterial small subunit ribosomal RNA", at positions 29 to 507 of the family's 1533-position model. The record is from RNAcentral.
AGUGAACGCUGGCGGUAGGCCUAACACAUGCAAGUCGAACGGCAGCACAGUAAGAGCUUGCUCUUACGGGUGGCGAGUGGCGGACGGGUGAGGAAUACAUCGGAAUCUACUUUUUCGUGGGGGAUAACGUAGGGAAACUUACGCUAAUACCGCAUACGACCUACGGGUGAAAGCAGGGGAUCUUCGGACCUUGCGCGAUUGAAUGAGCCGAUGUCGGAUUAGCUAGUUGGCGGGGUAAAGGCCCACCAAGGCGACGAUCCGUAGCUGGUCUGAGAGGAUGGUCAGCCACACUGGAACUGAGACACGGUCCAGACUCCUACGGGAGGCAGCAGUGGGGAAUAUUGGACAAUGGGCGCAAGCCUGAUCCAGCCAUACCGCGUGGGUGAAGAAGGCCUUCGGGUUGUAAAGCCCUUUUGUGGGGAAAGAAAAGCAGCAGGUUAAUACCCCGCUGUUCUGACGGUACCCAAAGAAUAAGCACCGGCUAACUUCGUG